GACGAACGCUGGCGGCGUGCUUAACACAUGCAAGUCGAACGGAAAGGCCCUGCUUUUGUGGGGUGCUCGAGUGGCGAACGGGUGAGUAACACGUGAGUAACCUGCCCUUGACUUUGGGAUAACUUCAGGAAACUGGGGCUAAUACCGGAUAGGAGCUCCUGCUGCAUGGUGGGGGUUGGAAAGUUUCGGCGGUUGGGGAUGGACUCGCGGCUUAUCAGCUUGUUGGUGGGGUAGUGGCUUACCAAGGCUUUGACGGGUAGCCGGCCUGAGAGGGUGACCGGCCACAUUGGGACUGAGAUACGGCCCAGACUCCUACGGGAGGCAGCAGCGGGGAAUAUUGCACAAUGGGCGGAAGCCUGAUGCAGCAACGCCGCGUGCGGGAUGACGGCCUUCGGGUUGUAAACCGCUUUCGCCUGUGACGAAGCGUGAGUGACGGUAAUGGGUAAAGAAGCACCGGCUAACUACGUGCCAGCAGCCGCGGUGAUACGUAGGGUGCGAGCGUUGUCCGGAUUUAUUGGGCGUAAAGGGCUCGUAGGUGGUUGAUCGCGUCGGAAGUGUAAUCUUGGGGCUUAACCCUGAGCGUGCUUUCGAUACGGGUUGACUUGAGGAAGGUAGGGGAGAAUGGAAUUCCUGGUGGAGCGGUGGAAUGCGCAGAUAUCAGGAGGAACACCAGUGGCGAAGGCGGUUCUCUGGGCCUUUCCUGACGCUGAGGAGCGAAAGCGUGGGGAGCGAACAGGCUUAGAUACCCUGGUAGUCCACGCUGUAAACGGUGGGUACUAGGUGUGGGGUCCAUUCCACGGGUUCCGUGCCGUAGCUAACGCUUUAAGUACCCCGCCUGGGGAGUACGGCCGCAAGGCUAAAACUCAAAGGAAUUGACGGGGCCCCGCACAAGCGGCGGAGCAUGCGGAUUAAUUCGAUGCAACGCGUAGAACCUUACCUGGGUUUGACAUGGAUCGGGAGUGCUCAGAGAUGGGUGUGCCUCUUUUGGGGUCGGUUCACAGGUGGUGCAUGGCUGUCGUCAGCUCGUGUCGUGAGAUGUUGGGUUAAGUCCCGCAACGAGCGCAACCCUUGUUCACUGUUGCCAGCACGUUAUGGUGGGGACUCAGUGGAGACCGCCGGGGUCAACUCGGAGGAAGGUGGGGAUGACGUCAAGUCAUCAUGCCCCUUAUGUCCAGGGCUUCACGCAUGCUACAAUGGCUGGUACAGAGAGUGGCGAGCCUGUGAGGGUGAGCGAAUCUCGGAAAGCCGGUCUCAGUUCGGAUUGGGGUCAGCAACUCGACCUCAUGAAGUCGGAGUCGCUAGUAAUCGCAGAUCAGCAACGCUGCGGUGAAUACGUUCCCGGGGCU
This 1346-nucleotide ribosomal RNA is filed under the name uncultured bacterium. RNAcentral describes it as "partial 16S ribosomal RNA". It matches the Rfam family "Bacterial small subunit ribosomal RNA", at positions 28 to 1381 of the family's 1533-position model. The record is from RNAcentral.